This 416-nucleotide long non-coding RNA is filed under the name Homo sapiens (human). RNAcentral's name for it is "HSALNT0167911". Lineage: Eukaryota; Metazoa; Chordata; Mammalia; Primates; Hominidae. The record is from RNAcentral.
CAGAAUCAGCAACUGUCCAAUGGUCUGGCCCGCACAGCAGGAGUCAUGAUAAGUUAUUGUAGAAGAAUUUAGGUUUGGAAAUGGGUCUUGAUAUGAAAGCCAGUGAGAGAGAAAGAGCAAAAAGAUUGAACAGGAGAAUCUGGAACCAGGAGUGAGCAGAGCUGGCCCCAGGCCUUGGUGGCUGUGUACUAGUUCUGUGACCUGCAAUCAGUCACUUAACUUCUGUGAGCUCCUCUCUUUCCGUCUGUAAAAAAGGAAUAUGUACUACCCACUUCCUGAGUAGAUGUUGAAGAUGUUGUAAAAGGUUCGAGUCAACCAAUUAAAAGCAAUAGAUCACAUGAAGAUGAGUAUAUCUUCUGUUUGUUGGGACAUAAUCCAGAGAGGAUCUUUCUCCCCAGAUAUUAUGGGAUGGCCAC